Molecule: long non-coding RNA, 523 nt
Organism: Cryptomeria japonica (Japanese cedar)
Lineage: Eukaryota; Viridiplantae; Streptophyta; Pinopsida; Cupressales; Cupressaceae
Exons: 2
Source: RefSeq, a predicted model, not a curated record
UCGACCUCCACAUUACAAUUAACUAGCAACUUUCAAAAAAUAAAAUAAGCCUAUAGAAUCCUAAAUAGAACUAGGGCAUGCAAAUUUGUAAAGCCCGAAACCUAAAAUAUUUGCAUCUUCUCAUUUCGUAUUCUCUGAAUUCUUUGAGAAAAAUCUCUAUUGGUGGCCAUGCAAAUUAGGGUUUGGCUGUGCUGAAGCUUACACCAGAGUUUUGAACUGCUACUUCUUGGCUUAAUAGUUUUUAAAAGCAACAUAUUUGUAUGGUCAGCUCAUGGAGCAGAUAGUGGGAUGCUUGGAUCAAUGAAGCUGACUAGAAGACCUUUCUGCAGAACUCAUCAACCUAUUCAGGCAAUGAUGGGUUCUUUCUUUCCUUUCUUCAUACAUUCUUCUGUUCCUUUUGUGUUUAUAUUUUUGUCAUCAAUGUUGAUCUUUUCUCAACUAUUCCCAUGACUUGUGUGAGAUCUUGCAAACAGUUUGAUCUUUAUAAAUAAAAUGUAUUACAUGUAGAUGUUUUAUUAAUGUA